GAUGAACGCUGGCGGCGUGCCUAAUACAUGCAAGUCGAGCGAACAGAUAAGGAGCUUGCUCCUUUGACGUUAGCGGCGGACGGGUGAGUAACAAGUGGGUAACCUACCUAUAAGACUGGAAUAACUCCGGGAAACCGGGGCUAAUGCUGGAUAACAUGUUGAACCGCAUGGUUCUACAGUGAAAGGCGGCUUUGCUGUCACUUAUAGAUGGACCCGCGGCGUAUUAGCUAGUUGGUGAGGUAACGGCUCACCAAGGCAACGAUACGUAGCCGACCUGAGAGGGUGAUCGGCCACACUGGAACUGAGACACGGUCCAGACGCCUACGGGAGGCAGCAGUAGGGAAUCUUCCGCAAUGGGCGAAAGCCUGACGGAGCAACGCCGCGUGAGUGAUGAUGGUCUUCUGAUCGUAAAACUCUUUUAUUAGGGAAGAACAAAUGCGUAAGUAACUGUGCGCGGCUUGACGGUACCUAAUCAGAAAGCCACGGCUAACUACGUG
RNAcentral lists this ribosomal RNA (497 nucleotides) under uncultured bacterium. RNAcentral's name for it is "partial 16S ribosomal RNA". It matches the Rfam family "Bacterial small subunit ribosomal RNA", at positions 28 to 507 of the family's 1533-position model. The record is from RNAcentral.